Molecule: ribosomal RNA, 253 nt
Filed under: uncultured bacterium
Lineage: Bacteria
Description: partial 16S ribosomal RNA
Rfam family: Bacterial small subunit ribosomal RNA
Source: RNAcentral
UACGUAGGGUCCGAGCGUUGUCCGGAAUUACUGGGCGUAAAGAGCUCGUAGGUGGUUUGUCGCGUUGUUCGUGAAAACUCACAGCUCAACUGUGGGCGUGCGGGCGAUACGGGCAGACUAGAGUACUGCAGGGGAGACUGGAAUUCCUGGUGUAGCGGUGGAAUGCGCAGAUAUCAGGAGGAACACCGGUGGCGAAGGCGGGUCUCUGGGCAGUAACUGACGCUCAUGCACGAAAGCGUGGGGAGCAAACAGG